This is a long non-coding RNA of Taeniopygia guttata (zebra finch), 3022 nucleotides long. RefSeq lists it as uncharacterized. The record is from RefSeq and is a predicted model, not a curated record. NCBI's taxonomy places the organism in Eukaryota, Metazoa, Chordata, Aves, Passeriformes, Estrildidae.
AGUUUUUUUUUUUUUUUUUUUUUCACAGUAAUCUCCUAAUAUUUUAUUCUGAUACCUUUUAUCCUCUUUCACCGAUUCCUUGCCUCCAGAAGUGGACUUAUAAAAUUUCUAUAAACCUAAAAUAGUUCACAGCAAGAAGAGGACUGCCAGCAUCUGGGAGAUGAAAACAGCCGACAUUCAAUACUUGGAAGCAUCAUGAGGACAAUGAAAAGGAAAUUCUUGCCCAUUCUUUUCUAAAAAGAGAAGACUAACCAGGAAGACUCCCUGUGAAUAAGUGCUUGUUGCAGACAUUCUUUUAUUGAGAACACAAAUUCCACAAAAUUUAUAAGGAAAAAUGGAGUAUGAAUAAAUGCCUCAAAAUAAUUGCUUUAAAAACUCACUUAAAUAUUUGAAUGGGUGAAUUAAACUUGAAUAGACUUUCUGUAUGAUGAAAAGAAAGGGCAUGAUAUCUUCUUCUGUGCAGCAGAAUGUAUUCUCUCAAAAACAGAAAACAGUUUCUUUUUGAAUUUUCAGAGUCUGUCCAGAAGCCCUUACAUUCCUUUAGACACAAACACUUCCCUACAAAACAUAUGAUAUUUUUCUUGCAUUUUUGAUGCUGCACAUCUUGGAUUUGAAGGAUACUAAUGUUGGUAUGAUAAUUGUGGUUCAAGUAAAACAUGAAUUAUUUGAAUCAGCUCUCCAGUCUUCUGCUGAUAUCAUGCUCAAAUAUUAUGAUACAGAGCUUAGAAAAUAAGUAGACAGAUGAGCAAACUGGAAUCAGACAGAGAUUUCUUAGCUAGCACUGAUGAUAAGAGCAGCAUCCACCAUGACAAGAACUAAAUCUAGAAGUGAGAGUAUUGGUAUUUCCAUCAGUAAUUAGCCACUUCUGAGUCUUUCAAGUACCUUGAAGCACCUGAAAGCUGUAAGAGAUAUUUACCUGUGAUAUUUAUUCUGCAGUGCUAGUUGUUCCCUGCUGGAGAGUGAUAUUAUUUCUUGAAAACUUGUGCCUUGAGCAUGGUCUGAUUGAUUUAGCACCAAAAAGCAUCCUGUUUUUCACUCACAGAGAAAGUGAGCAACAUUUCCUGGCAGAGCUAAGUAGAUAUUCUUAAUUUAGUUGUCCUGAUCUGGGAAAUGAACACUCUUCUUUAUGUACAGACUAUUUUUCUAUACAGCUCUUUUGCAAGAUCAAGACCAUUCACCCACUAAGCUCUGCAAAGGUCAAGGACCUGGUGGCACGCUCUCCAUGAAGAUGGAGGUCAGCCUCACUGACAUUGAUACAAGUCAAGUCUGUCAUUAUUCAUUCACCUCCUGCACCCUACAGCAGCUCUCCAGGGUCACACAGGAAGCAUGGAGUAAAACCAAGGAUUUAUUGAAAAGCUGAAUUUUAGCUCUGUUUCAAGCUGCAAACCAGAAAACAAACAUUUCUCUUCUUGACCUAUUUUAAAAGUGCAAGUCAACAGCUUGAGUUCUUUCACAUACACAACAAAUACAAUAGGAAAUGGGAAUUGGAAAUGAAGAUUAACAUUCCUACUGCUUCCAUGUUUUUUCCUUUCUUUGUCUUCUAGAUGAAAAAAAAAUCAAACUACUACUUUAUUAUAACAACAAAAGGUUUUCUGUGAGUUGAAGACUUUGGAGGAAAUGAAAGACAAUCCUAACAUCAUUGAGUAUUAUCAGACGUGCUUACAAUGAGAUUGUAAACUGGAUUAUGAGAUUCUGGACAAGUUGUCCCAUCCACAACUGUAAACAACUUUUGAACCAUUAAUGCUCUCACCUUCAGUCAGUUAAACCUCAUAAAAGCAUCCUAUACCUUUUGUGGAAUGACUUUAAGAAAGACCAGUUCUCCAGUAUGAAACAAUGAUAGAAACCUGGCAAUAGUAAGAGAUCUUCAAAUAAUGGAGAAAAUUCACUGGAAAAUAUUUAUUGAUUGUGCUAUUCUUUCAUCUAGAGGUGCAUAUAAGUUAGACAAGGCUAGCAGAAAGAUGUUAUGCCUUUCAUUAUGCCAACCACUACAGGUGGAAAAUAGGCUAAAUUAUUAAUCUGUCAGCUCUUUUUCAUGUCAGCUCUUUGUGUUAUGUUGUUAUCUUCCACAUCAUCAUGGCAAUAUCAUUAUAAUCCAACUUCCUAAGGAUAUUACAUGACCAAGGUUAAUUAUUGGCUCUGUACUGUCUGCUUCAAACUGGUGAGGCUAGGGGGGUCUUACAGGCAGAAUUAUUCAGCUCUUGGUGCUCUAUGUCCAGCUGCAGUUUAUGUCAGUGACAAGUAACUACUGUCAUAAAGCAAAUAAACAAAAGAUUUGGAGCUUCAUGUUAAGAGGAAGCAGAACUGCUCUCCUGUUUUAUUUCUCUAUUUAUUUUCUCUCUUGAAAUUAAAGAGCCCUAGAGAAAUAUUUAAGAUUUACUAUAAAUCUACAGAAGCAAAGUUUGGUCAACUCAGAAAAUAAUUUGUAUUUGUGAAAGUACUUGUGUGAGCCUACCCUCUGCAAAGCUUAUUGCAAACUCGUUUACAUCUGAAUUGUUAACUAUUACAUUAUUCAAUUGUACCAUUUAAAUAUGUGGGUUGAUCUGUGCUAGAAAAUCUUUGAAAUUUGUUUUCCUUAAAGUGUGGGCACUGGAGCAUUAAACUCUCCAAGUGAUAUGAGAAAAUUAGAUUCAGUCUUCUGAGCCUGCUUGCUUUGAAUGAAAUUCUGCUGUAAAUACAAGAAUCAAAUAUGGUUGGGAGAGUGGUUUUAUUGCAGAUCUGGCCUGUUUUGUAUUUGUUGCUGAACACAUGUAGGCAGAAGAAUUCAUGCUGCACUGCAGUAAAACUAAAAUGCCAUUAGAAUAUAUGUGUGACAGCAGAAGAAAGCACCAUACUUCAGGAUUUUUCCAUGAAAAAAAAAGACAUGAAAAUUAAAUAAAUAGCCUUUGCAUUUUACUUAUUUAUUUGGUUAUGGAUUUUGCAUAAAAUAAAAUAAAAUAAAAAAAAAAACAACCAUUGUUUUAACUCACUUAUUCUCAUAGAGAUGCAUCCCAGUGGUGCCUAAUAACCUUUCUAAUGAACCCCU